RNAcentral lists this long non-coding RNA (371 nucleotides) under Phoenix dactylifera (date palm). Its description in RNAcentral is "long non-coding RNA (PDAC_LNC021796)". The record is from RNAcentral. Lineage: Eukaryota; Viridiplantae; Streptophyta; Magnoliopsida; Arecales; Arecaceae.
GCAAGGUGAUGUGCCUAGGUUAGUCUAAAUAUCAUCAAGAAACUAUCAAUCUUCUAAAAAUGGUAUAGUUUAUUGUUAUUAGUUCUCUAUGUAACCAAUUAUUUCAUCAGAAUCUUUUGUCACUAGGGGUGGCAAUUUACUUUGCUUCAUCGAAUAUCCGACCCAACUCGGAUCUAAUGGGAUUGGUUUUACUUAACUUGCAAUGGAUCCGGGGUCAGUGUGGGUAAUAGUAAAACCCGCCUCGGAUCCAACUUAGAUAUUUAGAACUCUUCAUAAAUCCUACUUCUAAGGUAAAAAAAAUUGAUUUGCAUGCAAAAAAAACUCAAUUUUUAUAGCUUUAUCUGAGCCGAUUCGUCUAACCUGCUGUAUCU